Non-coding RNA from Ceratotherium simum simum (southern white rhinoceros), 89 nucleotides. NCBI's taxonomy places the organism in Eukaryota, Metazoa, Chordata, Mammalia, Perissodactyla, Rhinocerotidae. The record is from RefSeq and is a predicted model, not a curated record.
AGUAACUUCCCAGUCUGGCAUCUCAAGCAGCACCCCGGCAGGGACACUGUGCUGGCCCCCAGCCCCUGCACUAUCACCCGCUCCUGGUG